This 782-nucleotide ribosomal RNA is filed under the name Achilidae gen. sp. PCC-2008. RNAcentral's name for it is "bacterial SSU rRNA". It matches the Rfam family "Eukaryotic small subunit ribosomal RNA", at positions 1022 to 1811 of the family's 1831-position model. The record is from RNAcentral. Lineage: Eukaryota; Metazoa; Arthropoda; Insecta; Hemiptera; Achilidae.
UGUUCUAACCAUAAACUAUGCCAGCCAGCGAUCCGCCGUUGUCCUACGAUGACUCGGCGGGCAGCUUCCGGGAAACCAGAGCUUUUGGGUUCCGGGGGAAGUAUGGUUGCAAAGCUGAAACUUAAAGGAAUUGACGGAAGGGCACCACCAGGAGUGGAGCCUGCGGCUUAAUUUGACUCAACACUGGAAAACUCACCAGGCCCGGACACCGGAAGGAUUGACAGAUUGAUGGCUCUUUCUUGAUUCGGUGGGUGGUGGUGCAUGGCCGUUCUUAGUUGGUGGAGCGAUUUGUCUGGUUAAUUCCGAUAACGAGCGAGACUCUAGCCUGCUAACUAGGCGUACCCGGUAUCCACAAUAGUGCUACCGGCGAGCUAAUUUCUUCUUAGAGGGACUGGCGGCUUCUAGCCGCACGAGAAUGAGCAAUAACAGGUCUGUGAUGCCCUUAGAUGUCCUGGGCCGCACGCGCGCUACACUGGGGUAAGCAGCGUGUCUUCCCUGUCCGAAAGGACCGGGUAACCCGCUGAACGUGCCUUAAGAUUGGGACUGGGGAUUGGAAUUAUUCCCCAAGAACGAGGAAUUCCUAGUAAGCGCGAGUCAUAAGCUGGCGUUGAUUUAGUCCCUGCCCUUUGUACACACCGCCCGUCGCUACUACCGAUUGAAUGAUUUAGUGAGGUCUUUGGACCGGUGCGCGAAGGCCGCUUCGCGGUCUACGGCGUUGCUGGGAAGUUGACCGAGCUUGAUCAUUUAGAGGAAGUAAAAGUCGUAACAAGGUUUCCGUAGUG